RNAcentral lists this ribosomal RNA (1409 nucleotides) under uncultured bacterium. Its description in RNAcentral is "bacterial SSU rRNA". It matches the Rfam family "Bacterial small subunit ribosomal RNA". The record is from RNAcentral.
GAUGAACGCUGGCGGUAUGCCUAACACAUGCAAGUCGAACGGAACCUUCGGGUUUAGUGGCGGACGGGUGAGUAACGCGUGAGAAUCUGCCUUCAGGAUGGGGACAACAGUUGGAAACGACUGCUAAUACCCGAUAUGGCGCAAGCUGAAAGAUUUAUCGCCUGGAGAUGAGCUCGCGUCAGAUUAGCUAGUUGGUGUGGUAAAGGCGCACCAAGGCGACGAUCUGUAGCUGGUCUGAGAGGAUGAGCAGCCACACUGGGACUGAGACACGGCCCAGACUCCUACGGGAGGCAGCAGUGGGGAAUUUUCCGCAAUGGGCGCAAGCCUGACGGAGCAAUACCGCGUGAGGGAGGAAGGCUCUUGGGUCGUAAACCUCUUUUCUCAGGGAAGAACACAAUGACGGUACCUGAGGAAUAAGCAUCGGCUAACUCUGUGCCAGCAGCCGCGGUAAUACAGAGGAUGCAAGCGUUAUCCGGAAUGAUUGGGCGUAAAGCGUCCGUAGGUGGUUUUGUAAGUCUGUGGUUAAAGCGUGGAGCUUAACUCCAUAACGGCCAUGGAAACUACAAGACUAGAGUUAAGUAGGGGUAGAGGGAAUUCCCAGUGUAGCGGUGAAAUGCGUAGAGAUUGGGAAGAACACCGGUGGCGAAAGCGCUCUACUGGACUUAUACUGACACUGAGGGACGAAAGCUAGGGGAGCGAAAGGGAUUAGAUACCCCUGUAGUCCUAGCCGUAAACGAUGGAUACUAGGUGUUGCCCGUAUCGACCCGGGCAGUGCCGUAGCUAACGCGUUAAGUAUCCCGCCUGGGGAGUACGCACGCAAGUGUGAAACUCAAAGGAAUUGACGGGGGCCCGCACAAGCGGUGGAGUAUGUGGUUUAAUUCGAUGCAACGCGAAGAACCUUACCAGGGCUUGACAUGUCUGGAAUCUCGGCGAAAGUUGAGAGUGCCUUCGGGAACCAGAACACAGGUGGUGCAUGGCUGUCGUCAGCUCGUGUCGUGAGAUGUUGGGUUAAGUCCCGCAACAAGCGCAACCCUUGUUUUUAGUUGCCAUCAUUAAGUUGGGCACUCUAGAAAGACUGCCGGUGACAAACCGGAGGAAGGUGGGGAUGACGUCAAGUCAGCAUGCCCCUUACGCCCUGGGCUACACACGUACUACAAUGCUAUGGACAAAGGGCAGCCAACCAGCGAUGGUGAGCUAAUCCCAUAAACCAUGGCUCAGUUCAGAUCGCAGGCUGCAACUCGCCUGCGUGAAGGCGGAAUCGCUAGUAAUCGCCGGUCAGCAUACGGCGGUGAAUCCGUUCCCGGGCCUUGUACACACCGCCCGUCACACCAUGGGAGUUGGUCACGCCCGAAGUCGUUACUCUAACCGCAAGGAAGAGGACGCCGAAGGUAGGGCUGAUGACUGGGGUG